UCGAAUAUCACUUGGUUCAAAACACCGGAUCCCAUCAGAACUCCGCAGUUAAGCGUGCUUGGGCGAGAGUAGUACUAGGAUGGCUGACCUCUUGGGAAGUCCUCGUGUUGUACCCC
Molecule: non-coding RNA, 116 nt
Organism: Gossypium raimondii (Peruvian cotton)
Lineage: Eukaryota; Viridiplantae; Streptophyta; Magnoliopsida; Malvales; Malvaceae
Source: Rfam